This 28-nucleotide small RNA is filed under the name Bombyx mori (domestic silkworm). Its description in RNAcentral is "ovarian small RNA-5589". Lineage: Eukaryota; Metazoa; Arthropoda; Insecta; Lepidoptera; Bombycidae. The record is from RNAcentral.
UAAAGCGUAUUCACUUUGCCUGGCCUAU